Molecule: long non-coding RNA, 627 nt
Organism: Ornithodoros turicata
Lineage: Eukaryota; Metazoa; Arthropoda; Arachnida; Ixodida; Argasidae
Exons: 4
Source: RefSeq, a predicted model, not a curated record
CUGCCUUCCACAUAAGCAGGUUUCCCAUAAGCGUCGCUUCAGACUUCGCCCGGUGACCGAUGGAUCUCCAUCUCUUCACGUGAACAUCAGUGAAACUCCAGAGUAAGGAGGGACAUUGGUCUGACCUUGGAAAGCCCAUGACGACGAACCAGGAAACCAUCAGUGCAGGGUCCAAAGACUGACACGUGAUCCGCGGGGUACUUGGACAAACAUCACGUGACGUCCAACAAAGGUAUUCGUUGAGUAAUUCGACGACACUCUCUCAUCCAACCAAGGGCACCCAGGGGAACUGCGACGCUUGUACGCUUCUAUAACAUCGAAUAAGAUACCGUGCUCGUACUCCGCUACCUGAGCUGCCCAGGACGUUAAGCCUGAGUAGGUAAAAGCACACAGAGGGACAGCAUCAACACAGGAGCACACAGUUUGUGUGUCAAGGCGCAGGCUCUUGCACAAUGGAGUUUCUCCACCUGCUUGACUGCAUAUGUGCCAUCUUGUCGUGUUUCCUUGCUCUGCUGUACGGUACGUAUUCUUUUUAUUUAGCCCCGACUCCAGAAUGCAUUACCCAACCCUCUCUCACGCUCCCACGUGGUCUAUACAUGACCUCCUUACCCCAACCUAGCGUAAUUG